RNAcentral lists this ribosomal RNA (402 nucleotides) under uncultured bacterium. RNAcentral's name for it is "bacterial SSU rRNA". It matches the Rfam family "Bacterial small subunit ribosomal RNA", at positions 355 to 774 of the family's 1533-position model. The record is from RNAcentral.
UGGGGAAUAUUGGACAAUGGGCGCAAGCCUGAUCCAGCCAUGCCGCGUGAGUGAUGAAGGCCUUAGGGUUGUAAAGCUCUUUCGCGCGCGGCGAUAAUGACGGUAGCGCGAGAAGAAGCCCCGGCUAACUUCGUGCCAGCAGCCGCGGUAAUACGAAGGGGGCUAGCGUUGUUCGGAAUCACUGGGCGUAAAGCGCAUGCAGGCGGAUCGUUUAGUCGGGGGUGAAAUCCCGAGGCUCAACCUCGGAACUGCCUCCGAUACUGGCGAUCUUGAGUCCGGGAGAGGUUAGUGGAACUGCGAGUGUAGAGGUGAAAUUCGUAGAUAUUCGUAAGAACACCAGUGGCGAAGGCGGCUCACUGGCCCGGUACUGACGCUCAGGUGCGAAAGCGUGGGGAGCAAACA